UGGCUCAGAGUGAACGCUGGCGGCGUGCCUAAUACAUGCAAGUCGAACGAUGAAGCUUCUAGCUUGCUAGAAGUGGAUUAGUGGCGCACGGGUGAGUAAGGUAUAGUUAAUCUGCCCUACACAAGAGGACAACAGUUGGAAACGACUGCUAAUACUCUAUACUCCUGCUUAACACAAGUUGAGUAGGGAAAGUUUUUCGGUGUAGGAUGAGACUAUAUAGUAUCAGCUAGUUGGUAAGGUAAUGGCUUACCAAGGCUAUGACGCUUAACUGGUCUGAGAGGAUGAUCAGUCACACUGGAACUGAGACACGGUCCAGACUCCUACGGGAGGCAGCAGUAGGGAAUAUUGCGCAAUGGGGGAAACCCUGACGCAGCAACGCCGCGUGGAGGAUGACACUUUUCGGAGCGUAAACUCCUUUUCUUAGGGAAGAAUUCUGACGGUACCUAAGGAAUAAGCACCGGCUAACUCCGUGCCAGCAGCCGCGGUAAUACGGAGGGUGCAAGCGUUACUCGGAAUCACUGGGCGUAAAGGGCGCGUAGGCGGAUUAUCAAGUCUCUUGUGAAAUCUAAUGGCUUAACCAUUAAACUGCUUGGGAAACUGAUAGUCUAGAGUGAGGGAGAGGCAGAUGGAAUUGGUGGUGUAGGGGUAAAAUCCGUAGAUAUCACCAAGAAUACCCAUUGCGAAGGCGAUCUGCUGGAACUCAACUGACGCUAAGGCGCGAAAGCGUGGGGAGCAAACAGGAUUAGAUACCCUGGUAGUCCACGCCCUAAACGAUGUACACUAGUUGUUGGGGUGCUAGUCAUCUCAGUAAUGCAGCUAACGCAUUAAGUGUACCGCCUGGGGAGUACGGUCGCAAGAUUAAAACUCAAAGGAAUAGACGGGGACCCGCACAAGCGGUGGAGCAUGUGGUUUAAUUCGAAGAUACGCGAAGAACCUUACCUGGGCUUGAUAUCCUAAGAACCUUUUAGAGAUAAGAGGGUGCUAGCUUGCUAGAACUUAGAGACAGGUGCUGCACGGCUGUCGUCAGCUCGUGUCGUGAGAUGUUGGGUUAAGUCCCGCAACGAGCGCAACCCACGUAUUUAGUUGCUAACGGUUCGGCCGAGCACUCUAAAUAGACUGCCUUCGUAAGGAGGAGGAAGGUGUGGACGACGUCA
This 1154-nucleotide ribosomal RNA is filed under the name Campylobacter jejuni. RNAcentral's name for it is "bacterial SSU rRNA". It matches the Rfam family "Bacterial small subunit ribosomal RNA", at positions 20 to 1187 of the family's 1533-position model. The record is from RNAcentral. Lineage: Bacteria; Pseudomonadati; Campylobacterota; Epsilonproteobacteria; Campylobacterales; Campylobacteraceae.